Molecule: long non-coding RNA, 501 nt
Organism: Brassica napus (rape)
Lineage: Eukaryota; Viridiplantae; Streptophyta; Magnoliopsida; Brassicales; Brassicaceae
Exons: 2
Source: RefSeq, a predicted model, not a curated record
AGAUAUUUGGAGCGGUUCUCAAUCUCACCAAUCAUGUUUGCGUUGUACGCAGGAGACAAAACUCCGUUCUGAUUGAUCUUGUUGCCCAUAUGAGACUCUCUCUUCGUGAGGGCACGAUACAACUCUACAACUUCUGGAGCACGACGCACGGACCUUUUUCCAAGUGUUGUUUUUGAUGGAAGUGGUGGAGGCGGCGGCGGCUUUAUUGCUAUAGAUUGUUCUUUGACCAUUGGCUUCAGGCGAGCCACUUCUUGACGCAGCUCGUGAUUUUCUUUCUCCAGCUUAUCGUUCUUCAUUAGAGAAGCUUGAAGCUCCUUCACCAGACGCAUAAGAUCCGAAUCAUCCUCCCCAUUUGGUAACAUAUCUACCUACCCCUGUUUUCCCUAGUAGAUGUGGGAUUGGGUUAGUUUUUCUUUAGGGGAAUUUUUCUCCUUUAUAUCACUUGCUUUUCUGUUACGUCUCAAGGAAGUUAUAUAUAUUCACCUAAUCCUUUGAUGUUCA